Molecule: long non-coding RNA, 2616 nt
Organism: Anopheles gambiae (African malaria mosquito)
Lineage: Eukaryota; Metazoa; Arthropoda; Insecta; Diptera; Culicidae
Exons: 3
Source: RefSeq, a predicted model, not a curated record
GGAGUAUAUAUAAGGAAAAUGCGUCCACCAGCGUGGCCAUUCCAGUUACGGCGGUGUUUUGAUAGUGAUGUGCAUUAAUCCCCCCCAAAGUGUGUGACAAAACAGUGAACAGUGCUGUCCACUGCCCAGUGCAACCAGUGUUUGUAUGUGUGUGUUUGGUGGCCACAUCGUAGUGCAUUCACAAGUUCUAACACAUUACACACCCCAACCAAACGCAGCAGCCGUACUCUGAGCGAUAAGAACGUUGUGAAAUGCGCGAAAGGGUUUUUCAAUCAUUUGACGGUACGCUCCCUGCAGUUGGGUAAGUUGCACUAGUUUCAGAAGUUAUUGUACAUAAAAUUCACGUUUCUAUUACAUCUACGUUUUUAUUUUUUACUUAAUUUUACUAUCAAAACAGACGAGGAAUUAUUAUUAUAACUUUAUCUGGAACUUUUAAUGUUUUAGAUUUUUUAUUUGAAAAUAUUCUUUAGCUGUCGAUCGUUGUUUGACUUAUUCCAAAAUAAGUGCAAAUGAUAUUUAAUUUGCUUUAUUUCCCUUAAUUUGCUGCUCAGUAUGUGUUAUCAAAUGGCCUAUUUGUAAUACCGUCUGAUAACAUUACUUUAUUUACUACAACUUUUAAAUGAUAUCUGUAGCAAUUGUGGUUCGCUAUGGCAAACGAGAUUAGCAAUCCGCCAAGCAACUAUGUUUGCUAAUCAGUUAGGCAAUGGCUUUUCCCCCGUUUUACCAUUUAAUUGGUUUACUCAUAUGAUCAUUGUACUCCAUUUUAUUUGUUUUAGCUUCCCAAAACAAGCAAGUGAGUUGCUGUCUCAAGAGCUGUGCUGUUAAUAGUUUUCCCUUGAUUUAACUUUCACAACUGUAAGCACCUACUGCGCUUGCUAUCUUCACAUGAACUACAUACAUUCCCAUGCUUACACUAUCGAAUGACAGCGGUUUCAUGCUUACUGCUUACACUAUGAACAAAUUCUUAGAAAACAUGCCCGAUAUCGUCGAUCGGAGUUUGUUGUUUCCAUUGUACCACCACUGCUGUACACAUUCUUGUACAAUUUGCUCAACUCUUCGAGUAUUGCUAAGCGAACCAGCAUACCUGCGCUGAAUCACUAGGCCUAAGCGAUCGCUUGUGACUAACCGUUGACUAAUUUCCAGCUAAAUGGGUUUCAUCGCUCGUCAACAACCAACUGUUGUCCCGUGUGAUUGGCCCGAGUUCCGGUCGCUGCGUAACAGCCGUUAGAACUUUCGCGCCACCUCACCAUGACUCAGACGCGACGAUGAUGAUGCAGCCAAGCACCGCGCUAUGCGCGACUUUCUCGGUAAUGAAGUCAUAAUCGCCGUACCGCGUGGAGCCAGUGGUCGGCAAAGGGGGCUGAAAAACACUUCUCUGCACCUUGAACCAACACCAGUGACGCACCCUUCGGUGUUUAUCGAUGCACAAUCGAUGCAUUUCGAGUGCAGCAUUCGUGCAGCACGUGUUAGAGGGUGGUGUAAACAACAAAUAACAACUCAGCUGGGUUGAUUCCUCUAUUUCAAAGGGUCUGCUGUCUAAGAUAUUUGAAACUUCCGUCAUCUUGAGCUAAUAGUUUUUUUAUUACAUUUUUUAACCUUCCGCAAUACAGUUUUUUAUUUUAAUAGUUUGUAGGAAAAAAUAAAGAAAGCAAUAAGAUAUCGACGGUAUUGGAAAUUGUAAAGUCUAAUAGCUUUUUAUUUAUUUAUUUCCUUCCGCUUGUAAUGUGUGUCUUCUUUUUUCUAAUCUCGUAAAAUAAACGGAUCCACGAAGCACGCUCAAAACCCUAGCUAAACGCAUAAUAAAACGGCAGAAAGCAACGCGAAAUCGACAAAAAAAGUAAAUUAAAUAGUUAGGCGAACAGGAGAGAAGCAAAAAAAAUCAAUUUCCUCAUCAUCAACGUGAUCCACCAGGCGAGCGUGUACCUAUACAUCCCGAUCAUGAUCGAGAGAGAUCGACAAGAAGACGCACACGCGAAGAACACUCGCGCAGCUCGUCUACCGCUUUGCCUUGAAUGUGCCUUGAACGCCAAAGAAACGGAAGAACAACGUACACAGCGUGUUCGUUACCGCGGUGGGUAUAUGUAUCGCUCGCUUCCUUCCCACAUCACACACACACACACACACAGAUGGGGAGCAUUGCCUAACCCCCAUCCACCCUCCCCUUUCCCCGAAAUUGCAUGUUCGAUCUCAUCAAUCGAUCGUGUGUGUGUCUCCCAUCCUCCGUACAGCAAGCUCCACAUCCAGCAAGGUUUAACGCAUUUCGUCUACACCGUCUAAUCAAACACACAAACAAUCGUGCGCACACGCACCGGCAGCCCUAGCGCAGAAGAGGAGGAACGCACGGAAACGAAAGCGAACACCACCGGAGCGGGCUGGCGAUGCGUGCAUCAUUUUUCCCUCGCGCGUUGCCGCCCAAAGAUGCGCUCCCGAAUGGUACGCACCACCGUACACACCACCGAGUGCCGGGGGCGGGGGUUGGAAAAAUUAGAGGCAAGACGACCUGGACUGGGUUAAACGUCGGUGCGUUUCAGACACAGUUGCGCCUGCCAGUUGCUUGCUCGCCGGCUUGCGCGAUACAGUUACGGAUACACGCAGCAGCACACGCACGCAACGGUU